RNAcentral lists this long non-coding RNA (1691 nucleotides) under Homo sapiens (human). RNAcentral describes it as "HSALNT0323747". The record is from RNAcentral. Lineage: Eukaryota; Metazoa; Chordata; Mammalia; Primates; Hominidae.
UUAUCUGACUGUCCAAGGAAGGGAACGAGGAAGGGAAGAAAGAAGGAAUAAAGGAAUGAAGGAAUUUCCAUCAAUAUUUUUGGGUUAAAAUCUUUGGCUUGAAUUCCAGAAAUGGCAUUAAGAAAGCUACUGAAUUGUGUGUGUGUGGUAUACCUUAGUUUAUUGAUGUUGCUCCCGCCAAAAAAAAAAGCAAACCCAAAACAAUGAAAAAGACUUGGACGCUAACCAAAAGUAGUUCUGUGGUCCCCUAUAUAUCCUGCUGCACUCCAAUUUCAACAGAUCCAAAAGUUAUUUCUCCCUACUUCUCUAUACUUUGGUUUGACUUUUAUGUCUUCACAGGGCUCUAUAUAAUGUGCUGAGUAGAAAAAUAAGACAAAUUCUGGAGAUACACACCUAAGUUUUGCAGAAGAGUAUGAACUCAGCCAAAUGAAUAUUAAUAUUACUCUGUUUCCUCAUCCAUAGGAAACGUAAUAAGCACCCCACUGGAUUGCUAGGAGAAACUAAGAUGAUGAUUGUGAAAAUUUGAUUUCUCCCACUUUCACAUAGUAGAUCUUCAAUAAGGAACAGUACCCUCAUUUACUCAUAGUCUCUAGCAAUCCUUUUUAAGUUCAAACUCACAUAAUCAACCUAGUUUAGUUCUUUGCCAUCUGUCCUGUAAGUUUUCGGGGAAAUUAUUUUAUCCUGUUUCUCUACCUUUAAAUUCAUUUUCUCUAUCUCCUAACAUACCUCUGUUCUGGCCUAAAUAAUGAUAAAAAUUCAUUCUUCAAAAAUGCUCUUCUUAUCAUGUCACUUUACUGUUUAAAAUUUAUCAGAGGGUGGUCAUUACAAUCAGAGUAGUAACUAAACUUAUGGUCAAUAUCAAGUGUCUUCUAAAUUUCAGCUAACUCUAAUUUGGCUUCCUUUCUCCCCACAUUUUGCAAUGUCAUCUUACAUGCUUCCACAUGCAUCUCCACCUUUCUACCCAACUCCACCGUGUUUAAUUCCAAUCUGUGUACUGCCUCCAUUCCAGCACCUUUCCCCAGAACAUGUAGAUUGCUCUUUUCUCAUGGUCUUGCUUUUCCAAUUCCCCACUGGUCCUGCGAAGCCUAGUUUUUACUUCCUUCAUGGUUAUUUCUUCUCAUUUCCCUCCAAUCUUGAUUGCUUCUUGCAAAAUUACUAUAGUUUUUACUAUGCUUAUGCUCAUUCAGGAAUUUAUAUAAAGCUUUAUCUUUAAUUAGUGUUCUACAUUGUUAAAUACAGUGAGUUCCAAGUUUCUCUUCAAAGAAUCAGUAUGUCAGUAUGUGAAGUUUCUUGUCCUUUGUUCUUCAUUUUAAAGUUUAAGUUCCUUGUUCUCUUUGUCUCCUUGUCCCUAGUUUCAGUAAAAAACCUUUCCACCAGUUCUAAUCAGUAGUUCACAUCUGUUUCCCUGGUCACCUGCUCCAUCCUGAGUCACCCCUCGUCACCUACUCUGACCUGAGUCACUUUUAGUUACCUGUUCUGUAACCAUCCUUCCCGUUGAAACUGCUCACCCCGCCACUCUGGCUCAUACCCCACUCUCUUUAAAACAGUCAAUCGGAAUUAGUUUAGACUGUGCGGUCCAACCCUAGCCAAUAAGGGAAUGACACAGCAGUAGGGGCUAUCUGUGUCAGAAUAAGAACCCCUUCCCCUCCCAUGUUCAGGUGUGCUCUCACCAUUGCUCCAUCCAUGAGAUG